This 604-nucleotide ribosomal RNA is filed under the name Trichoderma hamatum. Its description in RNAcentral is "eukaryotic LSU rRNA". The stretch from base 212 to 365 matches the Rfam family "5.8S ribosomal RNA". The record is from RNAcentral. Lineage: Eukaryota; Fungi; Ascomycota; Sordariomycetes; Hypocreales; Hypocreaceae.
CGUUGGUGAACCAGCGGAGGGAUCAUUACCGAGUUUACAACUCCCAAACCCAAUGUGAACGUUACCAAACUGUUGCCUCGGCGGGGUCACGCCCCGGGUGCGUAAAAGCCCCGGAACCAGGCGCCCGCCGGAGGAACCAACCAAACUCUUUCUGUAGUCCCCUCGCGGACGUAUUUCUUACAGCUCUGAGCAAAAAUUCAAAAUGAAUCAAAACUUUCAACAACGGAUCUCUUGGUUCUGGCAUCGAUGAAGAACGCAGCGAAAUGCGAUAAGUAAUGUGAAUUGCAGAAUUCAGUGAAUCAUCGAAUCUUUGAACGCACAUUGCGCCCGCCAGUAUUCUGGCGGGCAUGCCUGUCCGAGCGUCAUUUCAACCCUCGAACCCCUCCGGGGGAUCGGCGUUGGGGAUCGGGACCCCUCACCGGGUGCCGGCCCUGAAAUACAGUGGCGGUCUCGCCGCAGCCUCUCCUGCGCAGUAGUUUGCACAACUCGCACCGGGAGCGCGGCGCGUCCACGUCCGUAAAACACCCAACUUCUGAAAUGUUGACCUCGGAUCAGGUAGGAAUACCCGCUGAACUUAAGCAUAUAUUGCGCCCGCCAGUAUUCU